RNAcentral lists this transfer RNA (71 nucleotides) under Neurigona zhejiangensis. Its description in RNAcentral is "tRNA-Lys". Lineage: Eukaryota; Metazoa; Arthropoda; Insecta; Diptera; Dolichopodidae. The record is from RNAcentral.
CAUUAGAUGGCUGAAAGCAAGCACUGGUCUCUUAAACCACAUUAUAGUAAAUUAGCACUUACUUCUGAUGA